RNAcentral lists this unclassified non-coding RNA (352 nucleotides) under soil metagenome. Its description in RNAcentral is "partial contains 5.8S ribosomal RNA, internal transcribed spacer 2, and large subunit ribosomal RNA". The stretch from base 1 to 120 matches the Rfam family "5.8S ribosomal RNA", at positions 35 to 154 of the family's 154-position model. The record is from RNAcentral.
GAUGAAGAACGUAGCGAAAUGCGAUAAGUAAUGUGAAUUGCAGAAUUCAGUGAAUCAUCGAAUCUUUGAACGCACAUUGCGCCCGCCAGUAUUCUGGCGGGCAUGCCUGUUCGAGCGUCAUUACAACCCUCAGGCCCCCGGGCCUGGCGUUGGGGAUCGGCGGAGCCCCCCGUGGGCACACGCCGUCCCCCAAAUGCAGUGGCGGUCCCGCCGCAGCUUCCAUCGCGUAGUAGCUAACACCUCGCGACUGGAGAGCGGCGCGGCCACGCCGUAAAACACCCAACUCUUCUGAAGUUGACCUCGAAUCAGGUAGGAAUACCCGCUGAACUUAAGCAUAUCAAUAAGCGGACGA